UCCACACAAUUAACACACGGUCCCAUUUCUUCUCCGCUUUGCCUGUCAUCUCCCGAAGCGCUCUCUCUCUCUCUCCCUCUCUCUCAUUGGGGAAUGGCGCCGGGUGGAGAGCAUCUCCGUCGCCGCCGGCGACGUGUGGUGCGGCGGGCGUGGCGCGACGCCCCAAGGUCGCUAAGGAUCUAGUGCUACACCGCCUCCUCCAUGCGGUCAACGGCGAGCCACCACUGCCCACAAAUGCUACCGGAGCGACGAGCGGCGGCCGUGCAGCGCGGAGGGGCGGAGCAUCCUCUACAAUGCCCAGCUCUUCCCAUGCGGUCAACGGCAAGCCGCCAUCUCCCCCGAAGCUUAGUCUAGGGUUUGGGUCGGGAUGGCUGCUGCUGGCUGCAGUUCGAUUCACAGCACCAUCCCCCGCCUCCUAGUUCGCAGCUGAUUCAUUUUCUAGUUCCUUUCAUAUUGCAGGCCAGCAAAAGAGUUCACUUUGGUUCUGCAAAAGUGUAAACCAACUUGGGCGAAUUGUUCUCCCAAAGGUCAGUUAUCAAUGUACUAAAUUCUCUUUAGGAUUUCUCUUUUCCACUUGUUCCAAACACACUCUUUUCCUUCAACUAUUUGAUACUGGUUACUGAUGAAUGAAUUCCAUGGGUUGCAGAGUAACUUUACCUUCUUAGCAUUUUGGAUGAUUUUACUUUUUUUUUUAAUUUUGUAGGUAACUUGUGUCAAAUGGAUAAGAAAAUUACAUAUUCUUGUCAGCAUUUUUUUGUGUUACGAUGAUCUACCAUUUUUGUUGAUUCAAUUUUUUCUUGGUGCAUUUUGCAACACAUAUAUUAGCUAGAAAACCACGCUUUCAGUACAGUUUUUUUUUUGAAAAGGUUUUCAGUACAGUUUUGAUCCUCAGUUUUGCACAUCCUAAUUGGGUUACCAUAACCUGAAUUCGUUUCUACUAUAAAUAGCCUGGUCAAUGGCCAAAUCGUAUUUGUUGGAUCGUUCGUUCACUCUCCAUGUUCUGCUUUUGUCCUGUGAUCUACUAGGAUCAGUUAACCUCGAUUCGAUAUGUAUCUGCAGGUUUGAGAUGUAUAUCUGUUGAUCUAGACUUUGCUGUGAUUGUCACGCUGCUUUUUGGCCCAAGUUUGAGCUAUUACCUAAUACUACCUCCGGAUCAUUAUAUUUGAUGCUGCGGACAAGAAUUUUGGCCUGCAGCCAGUUCAAAUUGUUUGUCGGAAACGACAAAUAAAAUGAACCGGAGGUAGUAUAUCUGAGAUGAUAUAAAAGAACACUAGUUCAGCUGAAACUUUAUUUUUGUCUUCACCGAAUUGAUCGCAUGCAUCCUGGAAUCUAUAAUCCAUAUUUGUUGCCUUUGCCCUUUGCCUUCGGCACCCUAUUCACAUUCCUACCACUGUGUUUUUUUUUCCUAGCUGACAUAUAUUCUCAAUCUGGAAGUUAAUAGUCAGUUUCGUCGGAUUUAAAGAGUAGAGGUUUAUGAGUAGCAAUCGCAUGUCCUUUUUUUAUCAGUUCAUGGCUGCCAUCUUUUACUAUUUAGGUUGGGUUAUAAGUAAGGUCUAUUUAGUUCUUGCAUUGCCAUCACCGCAUCGCAGGCCACCACGCCCCAGCAGCAGGAUGCCGUACUAUGUUUGCUUCAUGUUGUAGCUUAGGCAUGCCGAAGAAAACAAGCAGCAGCUCAGUUCAUUUUUGCGUCGUGGCACGCCAAAAGCUUGGCUGACGAUUCGUUUGCUGCAGCUUAGGUGCGACCGGAGCUGCGGCUAGGCAUAUUCUGGUGGCAACCAAACAGGGCUGUAGAAUCUCAAUCCUGGCCACUUUUUUGGUUUUUUUGUUCAUUCAUCGAAAGAGUAUGUAUUUAUAUACCCCCUGGAUUGAACAUUUUGCUUCCAAAGUAGUACGUUUUUCCAUUUUAGAAAAUAAUCAUGUUCUUCAAUAGGACCACCUCUUACAUAUCAAUAUCUUAAUAGUUUCUACACGAUUUUUCAUUCUGCAAUUAGUAUAAAUUUUGUAGGUAACCUACAUUUUCUUGGGUCAUGUGAUUUAUGGAGGAUUUUUUUUUUUAAUUUUGCCUUUCUUGAUACACAUCAAAUAUUUGUGAAAAGCACUAUCUAUCAAUAAUGUACAGCUGAACCUAAUCAUAGUAGUUCUGUUAGUGUGUUUUGAUCUUGGUGAAAUUGUUUUGGUGCGAGUAACAAGCCCACCAUUUUGCUAUGUUUGUCAUCGAGCUAUGCUGGUGUAACUAGCCCAAUUUUCCAAAACAACAUGGUUCAGUAGGCAAUAAUAUGGUUCCGAUUAUUCAAUUUUAUAGUUAUGGAUAAGCAAAACAAUGUACUUUGUUAGGCAAAGUUACGGUUCUAGGAAAUAUGGACAGGAGUUUCAUGGUUGGUUUACCCUUGCCAAGCCGUGACUACUUUUUGUUUACCUUUUGGUCUAGGCACUUGGAAAAAAUAGGUUAGGCAAAUUGCUGUACUUAGAUAGGCAAAGUAUUGUUAUUAGUUAGGCAAAGUACUGUUAUUAGUUGGGCAAAUUAUUAUUUUUAAUUUGGCAUGUUAUUGUUCUUCAUUUUAUUUUAGUAGCCAAAGUAAGAUUUCUUAGCAGCAGUUGGUUCCAAUGUUGACAUAACCUUCUUAGUAAGCAUAGUAGCGGCAAAGUAUUAUCAUUUGAGAUUAUCCGUGGGUCCUUCACGUUUUGAAAGUGUUGUGGAUCCUCGUAGUAAUCUUUUCUAUUAACAUGAUAUAGAAUAGAAGCGUAUGUUUUGGGGUGCUGAAUUGAGAAGCAUAUGUACCUCUGUUGAUGGAACAUGGACAGGAAUUUACUAAGUAAAAUACAUGGAUUUGCUCCAUUGUGAUUACUGACAUGCUAUUCUUCAACGCAUUGCAGGUCAUGAAGUGGACGGGAAGGGAAGCAAAUUUGCAGACAUCGUUUAUGAACAUCUUUUUUGCUGGUAAUAUAAUGCGGAUACACAGUAUCAUAUUGUUGAUUGUAAUGUGCAAAGUACUGUUAGUACCGUUAUUAGUUAGUUGAAGUAUUGUUCAGUAAUUUAUUUUAGGGUAGGUAUAUUAAGUUGAGCACGUGACCGGAUUUCUUUAAUGGGGCAUUGGUGAAUUGCCUCCAUCUUGGUAGAAUGAAUAUCAUGUGCUAUAAAGUGGCUCAAGAGAAGAUAGCAAUAAUACGUGUGCAGUGUGCACUAUUGUCCUUAUAGGUAUAUAGUACUAAAUUGGAAACUAUGUACAGUUCUUGGUGCCAGAAGUGCUGCGCAGCAUGCUGUGUUGUGUGGGUGCUGUCGGGCCGCGUAGAGGAACCAAAAUGGCUAAUAUGCCAAAAAAGGAAGUCCCUCCAUUAGGUGGUUUCCUAAUUAAGGCCGGCCGUACGGACGGGCUAAUUUAGCCACGUCCGUAUUAAAAAGGAAGAUGAUGUCUGAAGGUCCAAAAAUUGUAUGUACAACCACAAAAAAGAAUUAGCAGUUUCAUAAAUAGCAUUUUGGCGAAGUACGGGAUGAUAUUCUAGCGAAGCCCACUACUUGAUCAUUUCCACCAAUUUCAAGUUGCUUUGAUUUAUGAAAAGUUUGUUUGGAUGGAAAAUUCGUCCACCUGGUUUUAUUAAUUUGCAAAUGACAAUGCUGAAAUCGCAAAUUUCUCCAUCCUAGACCUAAAACCUAAACCCGUCGCCUCCUUCCCCCCUCCUCCCUGCUUCCGCCGCCGCCACCAACCUUCCCACGAAGCUCUUGUUCCACAACUAACCGCAUGGCAGAAUUUCAUUAAGCACCCACGGAUCUGAGGGGCUGAUGACACCAGCACGGCGGCGGCGCCUCCUCGCCGAAUCUUCCGAGCGCUCGGUGCUCACCACCUCAACAUGGCCACCGCGGCCUCCCUCAGCGUCAACCUCCCGGCGCUCACCACCCACUGCCACCUGUGCGCCGUCGAUGGCCUCCUCGUCCUCUUCCACAGGAUCACAAAAGCCAUCUGCCUCCUGGACCCUCUCAGCAACGCCGUCACCGAGUUCCCCGCCAUCUCCUCCAUCGUAGCGACAGUGCCCACGAGGGAGCACCACUUCGCCAUGUUUCUUCGGAAUAAUCCUAGUGGUGUCGACGGCCACUCGAUCAACGGUGCAGGCUUGGAUGAAUCCACCUCCCCGCCCACCCUCGUGCUCUGCCUGAGGGACAAUCUAUCCAACUUCAUCUUCGCCAAACCCGGUGAUGCACACUGGACGCUGGUGAACCAAGGCCAGGCGUAUCAUCACUCGAUGAUGGGUAGGGUUCUGAUCCAUUCCUUGCUGUCCCAAGGAGGGCGCUGCUAUGUCGCCUCCCCGGAGGGGUCCAUCUUUCUGGUGGAGCUGGGGCCACUGCCUCAGCUGGUGGAAAUAGUCAACCAGCGCCAGCGAGCAACCAGGGAGUGAUGACGGGAGGAUGCUCAUGGUGGCAGGGGAGCCAACAAUCAGACGGAGCUAUUCACGGUUGGUGGUGUCACUGGCCGCAUUGAGGUGUCAGAGGUGGACAUUGCUGGGAGGACGCUCAUACCUGUGAGGAGCCUUGGGCGCUACGCGGCAUUCAUCGGCAUGACACACUGCAUGCUCGUCUCCACCAGGACAUUCCCCUCCGUUGUUGCUGAUGCGAUGUACCUGGGCUACCAUUAUCAGCUCAGUCGGAAGUUCAGUAUCUAUCAUCCCAAGAGUAGGAAAGCUGAGCCGCCGCACGAGUUUGGCCUUGAAGAAAAUCACAAGGUAGUUCCCCAUGCCAGGCCCUGCAACCUUGACCAAUAUCUCGUCUGUUACGUUGACCGCAAACACAGGUUGAGUGGUCCAUGUAUCAAUCAUGUAGCUCAUUACUCAAUAGGUUGAGUGACUCUGUUUAAUUUGACAUGUAAUUUUAUCA
RNA transcript from Setaria italica (foxtail millet), 4864 nucleotides. RefSeq lists it as uncharacterized. The transcript has 2 exons. The record is from RefSeq and is a predicted model, not a curated record. Lineage: Eukaryota; Viridiplantae; Streptophyta; Magnoliopsida; Poales; Poaceae.